Molecule: ribosomal RNA, 462 nt
Filed under: uncultured bacterium
Lineage: Bacteria
Description: partial 16S ribosomal RNA
Rfam family: Bacterial small subunit ribosomal RNA
Source: RNAcentral
GACGAACGCUGGCGGCGUGCUUAACACAUGCAAGUCGAACGGUAAGGCCUGUCGGGGUACACGAGUGGCGAACGGGUGAGUAACACGUGGGUGAUCUGCCCUGCACUUCGGGAUAAGCCCGGGAAACUGGGUCUAAUACCGGCUAGGACGGCGCGGUGCAUGCCGUGUGGUGGGAAGAUUUAUCGGUGCAGGAUGGGCCCGCGGCCUAUCAGCUUGUUGGUGGGGUAAUGGCCUACCAAGGCGACGACUGGUAGCCGGCCUGAGAGGGCGACCGGCCACACUGGGACUGAGACACGGCCCAGACUCCUACGGGAGGCAGCAGUGGGGAAUAUUGCACAAUGGGCGCAAGCCUGAUGCAGCGACGCCGCGUGAGGGAUGACGGCCUUCGGGUUGUAAACCUCUUUCAGCAGGGACGAAGCGUGAGUGACGGUACCUGCAGAAGAAGCACCGGCCAACUACGUG